GGGGAAUCUUCCGCAAUGGGCGCAAGCCUGACGGAGCAAGACCGCGUGCGGGAGGACGGCCAAUUGGUUGUAAACCGCUUUUGAUUGGGAAGAAGAUCGCAACGUACCUAUUGGGACAGCAUGGAAUAACCCCGUGCCAGCAGCCGCGGUAAUACGGAGGAUGCCAGCGUUACCCGGAAUGCCUGGGCGUAAUGAUUCCGUAGGUGGUGAACUUUGUCUGGAAUUGGUACGUGCGGCAUGUGGACGAGCCGUCAGUGGAAACCGGCAGACUAGAGUGCGGUUCGGGUCAAUGGAAUUACCAGGGCCGUGGCUAAAUGCGUGGAUACCUGGAAGAACACCAGCGGGGAAAGCGCGUGACUGAGCCUGAAUUGACAUUGCCCCCUUCCAUCACGGGAAGCGAACAGGCUCAGAUACCCCACUGCCC
RNAcentral lists this ribosomal RNA (424 nucleotides) under uncultured Oscillatoria sp. Its description in RNAcentral is "bacterial SSU rRNA". It matches the Rfam family "Bacterial small subunit ribosomal RNA", at positions 356 to 796 of the family's 1533-position model. Lineage: Bacteria; Bacillati; Cyanobacteriota; Cyanophyceae; Oscillatoriales; Oscillatoriaceae. The record is from RNAcentral.